Molecule: ribosomal RNA, 253 nt
Filed under: uncultured bacterium
Lineage: Bacteria
Description: partial 16S ribosomal RNA
Rfam family: Bacterial small subunit ribosomal RNA
Source: RNAcentral
UACGUAGGUGGCAAGCGUUGUCCGGAUUUAUUGGGUUUAAAGGGUGCGUAGGCGGCCUUGUAAGUCAGUGGUGAAAUACUCCAGCUUAACUGGAGGGGUGCCAAUGAUACUGCAGGGCUUGAGUACAGAUGAGGUAGGCGGAAUUGACGGUGUAGCGGUGAAAUGCAUAGAUAUCGUCAAGAACACCGAUAGCGAAGGCAGCUUACUAGGCUGUAACUGACGCUGAGGCACGAAAGUGUGGGGAUCAAACAGG